UUAAGCGACUAAGCGUACACGGUGGAUGCCCUGGCAGUCAGAGGCGAUGAAGGACGUGCUAAUCUGCGAUAAGCGUCGGUAAGGUGAUAUGAACCGUUAUAACCGGCGAUUUCCGAAUGGGGAAACCCAGUGUGAUUCGUCACACUAUCAUUAACUGAAUCCAUAGGUUAAUGAGGCGAACCGGGGGAACUGAAACAUCUAAGUACCCCGAGGAAAAGAAAUCAACCGAGAUUCCCCCAGUAGCGGCGAGCGAACGGGGAGGAGCCCAGAGCCUGAAUCAGUGUGUGUGUUAGUGGAAGCGUCUGGAAAGGCGCGCGAUACAGGGUGACAGCCCCGUACACAAAAAUGCACAUACUGUGAGCUCGAUGAGUAGGGCGGGACACGUGGUAUCCUGUCUGAAUAUGGGGGGACCAUCCUCCAAGGCUAAAUACUCCUGACUGACCGAUAGUGAACCAGUACCGUGAGGGAAAGGCGAAAAGAACCCCGGCGAGGGGAGUGAAAAAGAACCUGAAACCGUGUACGUACAAGCAGUGGGAGCCUCUUUAUGGGGUGACUGCGUACCUUUUGUAUAAUGGGUCAGCGACUUAUAUUCUGUAGCAAGGUUAACCGAAUAGGGGAGCCGAAGGGAAACCGAGUCUUAACUGGGCGUUAAGUUGCAGGGUAUAGACCCGAAACCCGGUGAUCUAGCCAUGGGCAGGUUGAAGGUUGGGUAACACUAACUGGAGGACCGAACCGACUAAUGUUGAAAAAUUAGCGGAUGACUUGUGGCUGGGGGUGAAAGGCCAAUCAAACCGGGAGAUAGCUGGUUCUCCCCGAAAGCUAUUUAGGUAGCGCCUCGUGAAUUCAUCUCCGGGGGUAGAGCACUGUUUCGGCAAGGGGGUCAUCCCGACUUACCAACCCGAUGCAAACUGCGAAUACCGGAGAAUGUUAUCACGGGAGACACACGGCGGGUGCUAACGUCCGUCGUGAAGAGGGAAACAACCCAGACCGCCAGCUAAGGUCCCAAAGUCAUGGUUAAGUGGGAAACGAUGUGGGAAGGCCCAGACAGCCAGGAUGUUGGCUUAGAAGCAGCCAUCAUUUAAAGAAAGCGUAAUAGCUCACUGGUCGAGUCGGCCUGCGCGGAAGAUGUAACGGGGCUAAACCAUGCACCGAAGCUGCGGCAGCGACACUAUGUGUUGUUGGGUAGGGGAGCGUUCUGUAAGCCUGUGAAGGUGUACUGUGAGGUAUGCUGGAGGUAUCAGAAGUGCGAAUGCUGACAUAAGUAACGAUAAAGCGGGUGAAAAGCCCGCUCGCCGGAAGACCAAGGGUUCCUGUCCAACGUUAAUCGGGGCAGGGUGAGUCGACCCCUAAGGCGAGGCCGAAAGGCGUAGUCGAUGGGAAACAGGUUAAUAUUCCUGUACUUGGUGUUACUGCGAAGGGGGGACGGAGAAGGCUAUGUUGGCCGGGCGACGGUUGUCCCGGUUUAAGCGUGUAGGCUGGUUUUCCAGGCAAAUCCGGAAAAUCAAGGCUGAGGCGUGAUGACGAGGCACUACGGUGCUGAAGCAACAAAUGCCCUGCUUCCAGGAAAAGCCUCUAAGCAUCAGGUAACAUCAAAUCGUACCCCAAACCGACACAGGUGGUCAGGUAGAGAAUACCAAGGCGCUUGAGAGAACUCGGGUGAAGGAACUAGGCAAAAUGGUGCCGUAACUUCGGGAGAAGGCACGCUGAUAUGUAGGUGAAGUCCCUCGCGGAUGGAGCUGAAAUCAGUCGAAGAUACCAGCUGGCUGCAACUGUUUAUUAAAAACACAGCACUGUGCAAACACGAAAGUGGACGUAUACGGUGUGACGCCUGCCCGGUGCCGGAAGGUUAAUUGAUGGGGUUAGCGGUAACGCGAAGCUCUUGAUCGAAGCCCCGGUAAACGGCGGCCGUAACUAUAACGGUCCUAAGGUAGCGAAAUUCCUUGUCGGGUAAGUUCCGACCUGCACGAAUGGCGUAAUGAUGGCCAGGCUGUCUCCACCCGAGACUCAGUGAAAUUGAACUCGCUGUGAAGAUGCAGUGUACCCGCGGCAAGACGGAAAGACCCCGUGAACCUUUACUAUAGCUUGACACUGAACAUUGAGCCUUGAUGUGUAGGAUAGGUGGGAGGCUUUGAAGUGUGGACGCCAGUCUGCAUGGAGCCGACCUUGAAAUACCACCCUUUAAUGUUUGAUGUUCUAACGUUGACCCGUAAUCCGGGUUGCGGACAGUGUCUGGUGGGUAGUUUGACUGGGGCGGUCUCCUCCUAAAGAGUAACGGAGGAGCACGAAGGUUGGCUAAUCCUGGUCGGACAUCAGGAGGUUAGUGCAAUGGCAUAAGCCAGCUUGACUGCGAGCGUGACGGCGCGAGCAGGUGCGAAAGCAGGUCAUAGUGAUCCGGUGGUUCUGAAUGGAAGGGCCAUCGCUCAACGGAUAAAAGGUACUCCGGGGAUAACAGGCUGAUACCGCCCAAGAGUUCAUAUCGACGGCGGUGUUUGGCACCUCGAUGUCGGCUCAUCACAUCCUGGGGCUGAAGUAGGUCCCAAGGGUAUGGCUGUUCGCCAUUUAAAGUGGUACGCGAGCUGGGUUUAGAACGUCGUGAGACAGUUCGGUCCCUAUCUGCCGUGGGCGCUGGAGAACUGAGGGGGGCUGCUCCUAGUACGAGAGGACCGGAGUGGACGCAUCACUGGUGUUCGGGUUGUCAUGCCAAUGGCACUGCCCGGUAGCUAAAUGCGGAAGAGAUAAGUGCUGAAAGCAUCUAAGCACGAAACUUGCCCCGAGAUGAGUUCUCCCUGACUCCNAGCGACUUGCUCGUGGAGCUGAAAUCAGUCGAAGAUACCAGCUGGCUGCAACUGUUUAUUAAAAACACAGCACUGUGCAAACACGA
This 2881-nucleotide ribosomal RNA is filed under the name Escherichia coli. RNAcentral describes it as "bacterial LSU rRNA". It matches the Rfam family "Bacterial large subunit ribosomal RNA". Lineage: Bacteria; Pseudomonadati; Pseudomonadota; Gammaproteobacteria; Enterobacterales; Enterobacteriaceae. The record is from RNAcentral.